AGGACGAACGCUGGCGGCGUGCUUAACACAUGCAAGUCGAGCGGAAAGGCCACUUCGGUGGUACUCGAGCGGCGAACGGGUGAGUAACACGUGAGUAAUCUGCCCUCCACUUUGGGAUAGCCACCGGAAACGGUGAUUAAUACCGGAUAUGACUCGUGCCCGCAUGGGUGUGGGUGGAAAGUUUUUCGGUGGGGGAUGUGCUCGCGGCCUAUCAGCUUGAUGGUGGGUAAUGGCCUACCAUGGCUUCGACGGGUA
This 255-nucleotide ribosomal RNA is filed under the name uncultured bacterium. RNAcentral's name for it is "partial small subunit ribosomal RNA". It matches the Rfam family "Bacterial small subunit ribosomal RNA", at positions 26 to 285 of the family's 1533-position model. The record is from RNAcentral.